AUUGAACGCUGGCGGCAUGCCUUACACAUGCAAGUCGAACGGCAGCGGACCUUCGGGUGCCGGCGAGUGGCGAACGGGUGAGUAAUAUAUCGGAACGUACCUUUCAGUGGGGGAUAACGUAGCGAAAGUUACGCUAAUACCGCAUAUUCUGUGAGCAGGAAAGCAGGGGAUCGCAAGACCUUGCGCUGAUUGAGCGGCCGAUAUCAGAUUAGCUAGUUGGUGAGGUAAAGGCUCACCAAGGCGACGAUCUGUAGCGGGUCUGAGAGGAUGAUCCGCCACACUGGAACUGAGACACGGUCCAGACUCCGUACGGGAGGCAGCAGGU
This 325-nucleotide ribosomal RNA is filed under the name uncultured bacterium. Its description in RNAcentral is "bacterial SSU rRNA". It matches the Rfam family "Bacterial small subunit ribosomal RNA", at positions 30 to 355 of the family's 1533-position model. The record is from RNAcentral.